This 380-nucleotide small RNA is filed under the name Sedimenticola thiotaurini. Its description in RNAcentral is "cspA thermoregulator". It matches the Rfam family "cspA thermoregulator". The record is from Rfam by way of RNAcentral. Lineage: Bacteria; Pseudomonadati; Pseudomonadota; Gammaproteobacteria; Chromatiales; Sedimenticolaceae.
UAGUACCUGCAGCUACAGUUUUUGUGAUAAGCAGUUUUGGUUGUUCCGAUCUUGUUACCCCCUCAAUUCCUCGUUUCAUUAUCUGUAAGCAAAAAGCAAAUUGUUAAUUUAUUACAGGUAAGAUUUUUAUGGCUACAGGCACAGUAAAAUGGUUUAACGAGGCCAAAGGUUUCGGGUUUAUUUCUCAGGAUGAUGGUGGCCCGGAUGUAUUCGUACAUUUCAACGCGAUCGAAGGCUCGGGUUUCAAAACCCUGGCGGAAGGUCAGCCGGUCACUUUUAAUGUCGAGAAAGGUCCCAAGGGUCUUCAGGCAAGCAAAGUCAGCUAGACUUGGUAUCGUUGUAUAGAUACUGGAGAACCCCGCUUAGGCGGGGUUCUUUGU